CGUCGUUACCGGGAGCUCCGGGCAGACCCUGGGGAGAGACCGGGUCAUUACAGGUAACCUGCUCACCUGGUCCGGGGCUACUAGUGAGUCUACAGGUAACUCACCUGGUACUGUACUAGUGGUGAGUGACUCUACUCUACAGUGACUCUACUCUACAGGUAACUCACCUGGUACUGUACCAGUGGUGAGUGACUCUACUCUACAGGUAUCUCACCUGGUCUGUUGUACCAGUGGUGAGUGACUCUACUCUACAGGUAACUCACCUGGUACUGUACCAGUGGUGAGUGACUCUACUCUACAGGUAACUCACCUGGUCUGUUGUACCAGUGCUGAGAGACUAUACUCUUAAGAUAAGGCAGAGGACCGUAAGUGUUCUAGUUGAGCCGCCCUGUAGAUAACAGGCCUAUGGCGUCAUUGUUAGUUCAGAAGGCAGCAGCACCCUCUGCUGGCCAGACGGAGGUAACUCACUCUGUCUCCCUUUGGGCCUCGCUCUCCCUGGGGUCCCUGGGAAAAUAAACACAAGGCAUUUAAUUAAGUAUAUAUAAGGUAUCAAAUUAUAAACUAGGAAAUAUAUAUUAUACAUUAGAUAUCAAAUAUAAAACAAUAUCCCAAGAAUAUAUAUGCAUAUAUCACAUAAUAUACUAUUCGAUAUAAAGCAAUCUACUUCCAAAUAUACAUUAGAUAUUAGAUAUAAAAUAAUCGACUGUUAAGUAAAUAUUGCAUAUUCAAAAUUAAAUAAUAUAAUAAAGUGAAUAAUACAAAACAAAAUACAAUUAUACAAUAAUGCAACAUAACACAUUACAUAAUACAUGACAUGACGCAACACAUAUUCUAACAUACUAUACUAUACUCAUAUCGUAUAUAACAUAUUAUCUAAACAAAUCUGAACAAGAUUCAAUGCUUUGAUCAUUCAUGGUGGCUAAUCAAUAAUAUUUAAACUGAUAUUAUCUUUAGUAAUUUUAAUUGAUACUUAUACAGAUAACCGAUCAAACAUUUAAUAGUAUAAAUGCUUUCAUAUUUUUACUGAUUUGAUCUUUCAUAUUUCUUCACCAAAGAAGCAACAUAAUCAAAGGGCAAUCUACUUGAUCAAAUAACUUCAUCUUAAUUUUAACAGGAUUAUAAUAAAAAAUAUGUGAAUGAUUUUAAAUGAAUAUCAUAAUAAACAUCGUAAUAAACAUCAGAAUGAAUAUCAGAUUGUACAUCAUUAUGAAUAUCGAACUAAACAUUAUAAUAAAGGUCAGAAUAAAUAUCAUAAUGAACAUCAUAAUGAACAUCCAAAUUAAUAUCUUAAUGAACAUCAUAAUGAUUAUCAGUAUGAAUAUCAAAAUGGAUAUCACAAUGAAACUCAUCCUGAUAAACAUCAAAAUAAAUAUCAUGAUAAACACCAUUGUUAAUUUCAGAAUGAAUAUCAUAAUAAACGUAAUCAUGCUGAAUAUCAUAAUGAACAUAAUCAUAAUGGAUAUCAUAAUGCCUAUCAUAAUGAUCAUCAUAAUGAACAUAAUCAUAAUGCAUAUCAUAAUGCCCAUCAUAAUGAUCAUCAUAAUGAACAUAAUCAUAAUGGAUAUCAUAAUGCCUAUCAUAAUGAUCAUCAUAAUGAACAUAAUCAUAAUGCAUAUCAUAAUUAAAAUCAUAAUUCAUAUUCACCUCUACUUGGGGCUCCUGGAAAUCUGUGGGAAAAAACAAGAGUAGAUUUAGAAUAAGGACGUCAUUCUGGAGCUAUAGUGAAGAGAUCAAUUAAUACUAUCAUAUACCAAAUAGAUAUAAAGACAUAAAGAUCAUUUGAUUCAUUUGUAUCAUCUGUAGCUAUAUAGAUGAAAUAGAAUAGAAUGGCAUUGAUUUUAAUAUUCUUAUUUUAUAUUUUUUGCUUGUUGCUUGGUUACUCCAGAGUAAUAAGAAGUGGUUGCUUGGUUACUAUUCUAGAAUAAUAACAACUGUUUGCUUGGUUAUUAUUAUUUUAGAGUAAUAGCAACUGUUUGUUUGGUUACUAGUCUAGAGUAAUAACAACUGGUUGUUUGGUUACCAGUCUAGAGUAAUAACAACUGGUUGUUUGGUUACUCUAGAAUUAAAACAAUCCUCCUCUAUUAGGAGAGAAGCUAAAAUAUGAAGUAAUUAAAUAAAAUAGUUCAUUACAUUUCAGGAUUAGACUGGAUGUGAAAUGUCAAAAUAGUGAUGCUCUGGAAAUAGGAAUAUGGCAUAAAUAUGUCAAUAUUUUUACAAAGGUAUUAAUUAUGUAUCAAAUAACUGUUUGUAAAGCUUUAAUAAUAAAUGAUCCAAAAGCUUUUAAAUGUAAUUUAAAUGUGUAAACAGUUAUACAAAGGUGUUAGAUGAGUUUUAAAAUAGAAGUAUGUAUGUAAACCUCUUUAAAUACAGUUUACACUCACAACUUUUAAAUCUAAAAAGCUGAUAAAUAAUGUAAACAGCAAAGGUUUGUUUCCAAUGGUUUCUGAAUGUUAACAUUGGUUUAUAAAGGUAUAUCAUACCUAUACAGGUUAAUUAAGGUAUAUAAAGGUUUCUAGAGGUUAAUGAAUGCUUAUCUAGGUUUAUAAUGGUUGUAGAGUUUUAUAAAGGUUUGUAGAGGGCAACAAAGUUGUAUACAGGUUUAAAGAGGUUGAUAAUGGUUUGUUGAGGUUUCUAAAGGUCUCUCAAGGUUUGUGAAUGGUUACUGAGCUUUCUCUAGGUCAGCUCAGUUCAGGAGGCGGGUUGCCUUGUAACCGGAAGGCUGCUAAUUUGAUUCCUGGCUCCUCCUAUUUACGUGUCGAGGUGUCCCUGGGCAAGACGCCUCACCCUGACUGCUCCCAAUGAGCUGACAGUCGCCCUGCGGGGUCGACUCCGCCGUCGGUGUGUGAAUGUGUAUGUGAACCGUUGUAGGACGCUUUGGAUAAAAGCGGCUGCUAAAUGCCCUCAAUGUCAAUGUAGAGGUUUCGAAAGAUGCAUACAGGUUUGCAGAGCUUUGCAGAGGUUUCUAGAGUUCUCUAAAGGUGUAUGCCAGUUUCAAGAGGGUUAUAUAGCUUUCAAGAAGUUUCUAAAGGCGAGUACAGCUUUCUAGACGUUUCAAGUGCUGUCUAGAGGUCGACAGAGGUAAACAGAGCUUUCUAGAGGUUUCUAAAGGCAAGUACAGGUUUCUAGACGUUUCCAGAGCUGUCUAGAGGUUGACAGAGGUAAACAGAGCGUUCCAGAGGUCUGAGAGGGGGCAGCCUACCUUCUUCGGGGCAGAUGGGGCAGCACUCAUCGUGGGGGAUGACGGGGUUGGCGCACUUGGAGGUGUCCUCGCAGAUGACCUCGUCACACAUGACGUGGCCGCCGUCGCACACGCAGAUCUGGCAUGGCUCGGGCUUCCACACGUCGCGGUCCGCAAAGACCUGUCCGUCCAGGGUACAGCUGCU
This is a long non-coding RNA of Gadus macrocephalus (Pacific cod), 3383 nucleotides long. RefSeq lists it as uncharacterized. The transcript has 2 exons. The record is from RefSeq and is a predicted model, not a curated record. Lineage: Eukaryota; Metazoa; Chordata; Actinopteri; Gadiformes; Gadidae.